Molecule: unclassified non-coding RNA, 305 nt
Filed under: fungal sp.
Lineage: Eukaryota; Fungi
Description: partial internal transcribed spacer region
Rfam family: Eukaryotic small subunit ribosomal RNA (bases 1-46)
Source: RNAcentral
AAGUCGUAACAAGGUUUCCGUAGGUGAACCUGCGGAAGGAUCAUUAACACAAAACAGCUGAGGCCGUCGAAGCAGGAAACUGCCUCGAUGCGUCUCAUCUACUAUCCAACCGUGGUCUUGUUUUGUACCUCAGCCGUUAUACGCUGUGGUUUAUCCAUUUCAUCCUUGUGAUGAAUUGGCCUUUUUUUCAUUUUCUGAAUGACUACCUGCACUGAUGUCGUAUGCUCGCGAAAGUGGGCGUGCGUUUAUUGGCCUCGUGUCAAUAAAAUUAAUCACAACUCGUAACAAUGGAUAUCUCGGCUAAC